This 1357-nucleotide ribosomal RNA is filed under the name uncultured bacterium. Its description in RNAcentral is "partial 16S ribosomal RNA". It matches the Rfam family "Bacterial small subunit ribosomal RNA", at positions 29 to 1382 of the family's 1533-position model. The record is from RNAcentral.
UUGAACGCUGGCGGAAUGCUUUACACAUGCAAAUCGAACGAUGAACCUUAGCUUGCUAAGGGGAUUAGUGGCGAACGGGUGAGUAAUAUAUCGGAACGUGCCUUGUAAUGGGGGAUAACUAGUCGAAAGAUUAGCUAAUACCGCAUACGCCCUGAGGGGGAAAGUAGGGGAUCUUCGGACCUUACGUUAUAAGAGCGGCCGAUAUCUGAUUAGCUAGUUGGUGGGGUAAUGGCCUACCAAGGCGACGAUCAGUAGCUGGUCUGAGAGGACGACCAGCCACACUGGAACUGAGACACGGUCCAGACUCCUACGGGAGGCAGCAGUGGGGAAUUUUGGACAAUGGGCGCAAGCCUGAUCCAGCCAUUCCGCGUGAGUGAAGAAGGCCUUCGGGUUGUAAAGCUCUUUCGCAAGGGAAGAAAACUUACUUUCUAAUAAAGAGUGAGGCUGACGGUACCUUGAUAAGAAGCACCGGCUAACUACGUGCCAGCAGCCGCGGUAAUACGUAGGGUGCGAGCGUUAAUCGGAGUUUCUGGGCGUNNNGCGUGCGCCGGCGGUUUGGCNNGUCNGAUGUGNGUUCCCCGCGCUCCGCUUGGGGCNUGCGUUUGGNUCUGCCCGNCUUGGUGUGUUCUGNGGGGGGUGGGUUUCCNCGUGUUGCCGUGGNNUGCGUUGNGAUGUGGNGGGUNNCCCNUGGCGGGGCCCGCCCCCUGGGNUGNUNUUGNCGCUCUUGCUCGNNNGCGUGGGGCGCCCACAAGAUUCUUUNCCCUNNUNNUCCNCNCCCUNNNCCUCUCAAGGGUGUUGGUGGAGUAAAAUCCAUGAGUAACGCAGCUAACGCGGGAAGUAGACCGCCUCGGGAGUGCGGUCGCAAGAAUAAAAAUCAAAAGAAAAAACGGGGGCCCGCCCAAGCGGCGGAUUAUGUGGAUUAAUUCGAUGCAACGCGAAAAACCUUACCUGGCCUUGACAUGCCACUAACGAAGCAGAGAAGCAUUAGGUGCCCGAAAGAGAAAGUGGACACAGGUGCUGCAUGGCUGUCGUCAGCUCGUGUCGUGAGAUGUUGGGUUAAGUCCCGCACCGAGCGCAACCCCCCCCACUAAUUGCCAUCAUUUAGUUGGGCACUCUAAUGAGACUGCCGGUGACAAACCGGAGGAAGGUGGGGAGGACGUCAAGUCCUCAUGGUCCUUAUGGCCAGGGCUUCACACGUAAUACAAUGGUCGGUACAGAGAGUUGCCAAGCCGCGAGGGGGAGCUAAUCUCAGAAAGCCGAUCGUAGUCCGGAUUGUUCUCUGCAACUCGAGAGCAUGAAGUCGGAAUCGCUAGUAAUCGCGGAUCAGCACGUCGCGGCGAAAAAGGUCCCGGGUCUU